GUCGAGCUAAGUAACGAAAGCUUGUGACCCGAGUGGGGACAAUAAGAUGGUGGAACAUUGGUUCGGGUCCACGGGUCGGAUCUGGUGUCGGCAAGUUUCUGAGCUGCCCAGUCCAAGCUGUGAGUUAUCCCUCUGGGUUGAUCGAAGGUUCAUCCCAGGUGGGUGCUAAAGUCGGAGGGUAAAGCGUGAGGCUGGUUUCACAGAGCAGCGACUACUUCCCGCUUAUAGCAGUGGACGGAUUACGGCUCGGCGUCGCCCAGAUCCACUAUGGCCCGCUGGUUCGAUCUCAGCUGAACCACUAUUUUU
Capsella rubella is the source of this 306-nucleotide non-coding RNA. It matches the Rfam family "Plant signal recognition particle RNA". NCBI's taxonomy places the organism in Eukaryota, Viridiplantae, Streptophyta, Magnoliopsida, Brassicales, Brassicaceae. The record is from Rfam.